UUCAGACUCCAAAGGAGAAGAAGAGGAGGAAGAACCAGAAAAGGAAGGCAAGUAACAGACAUAAUCAUUGAGAUAAGAGGGAGGAUUAUGUGGUCUGCCAGAUCUUCUGUGUCCAGUAGAGACAACAGAGGAAGGAACACCUGAGGAAGAAGGAGUGAAAGGAGGAGGAUUAACAACAGAAAGAGGAACAAAAGGAGAGGAAAGGGAGGAAGGAAGUGAUGAAGAAGCAGGACUGGGGGCAGAAUAGGAAGAAACAGGAGGAGAAGAACAAAGGGAAGCAGGCAAAACAAAAUCAGCACAGGGAAUAUCAGAGGAAGGAGUAGGAGGAGGAGGGAAAACAGAAGCAGCAUGAGGAACAACAGAAGCAGAGUC
RNAcentral lists this long non-coding RNA (372 nucleotides) under Nicotiana benthamiana. Its description in RNAcentral is "long non-coding RNA (NBEN_LNC027065)". The record is from RNAcentral. Lineage: Eukaryota; Viridiplantae; Streptophyta; Magnoliopsida; Solanales; Solanaceae.